Molecule: transfer RNA, 56 nt
Filed under: Ixodes acutitarsus
Lineage: Eukaryota; Metazoa; Arthropoda; Arachnida; Ixodida; Ixodidae
Description: tRNA-Ser
Source: RNAcentral
AAGAUUAACUUCUUAGACUUCUAAUCUAUUAAUAAUGAUAUAAUCAUUUAAUCUUU